GCAAAGAUACUCCUAUUAGGCAUUAUGUGUCGAAGAUUACCUCCCAGGAGUCUAGGACAAAGGUCAGACCUCUUUUUGGUCAACGUUAAUUUUUAUUUGAAACUAUACAACAUUGCCAUCACUCUGUUAUCCUUUCUGUUUUGUCUUCAAAAUAACCCUAAUUGGUGGGUAAGGAUAUUAUUAUAAACAAGAUCUCAAGAGGGAAGACGCUGGGGCAAGGUUGCACAGUCGAUCCUGGACUCAUGGUACAAGACUCUUUCCACUCUCUGAGAGCCCUGAGUCCUGAGAAGAUGGAAACAAGGAGGCCAAGGCAGGUGAAUUGCUUGAGUCCAGGAGUUUGAGACCAGCCUGAGCAACAUGGUGAAACUCCGUCUCUACAAAAAACAAAAAAAAUCCAGCGUGGAGGCAUGCACCUGUGGUUUCAGCUACUCAAGAAGUGAGGCAGGAGGAUUGCUUGAGCCUGGGAGGUCAAGGCUGCAGUGAGCUGUGAUUGCAUCAUUAUACUCCAGCCUGGGUGACAGAGCAAAACCCUGCCUUAAAUAAAUAAAUGAAUAAAAGGAAACUUGUGGUU
This is a long non-coding RNA of Homo sapiens (human), 571 nucleotides long. NCBI's taxonomy places the organism in Eukaryota, Metazoa, Chordata, Mammalia, Primates, Hominidae. The record is from Ensembl.